AUUGAACGCUGGCGGCAGGCCUAACACAUGCAAGUCGAACGAGUGGCGGACGGGUGAGUAAUGUCUGGGAAACUGCCUUAUGGAGGGGGAUAACUACUGGAAACGGUAGCUAAUACCGCAUACCAUCAGAUGUGCCCAGAUGGGAUUAGCUAGUGGGUGGGGUAACGGCUCACCUAGGCGACGAUCCCUAGCUGGUCUGAGAGGAUGACCAGCCAACCUGGAACUGGUAAACGGUCCAGACUCCUACGGGAGGCAGCAGUGGGGAAUAUUGCACAAUGGGGGCAAGCCGGAUGCAGCCAUGCGGAGUGUAGGAAGAAGGCCUUCGGGUUGUAAAGUACUUUCAGCGGGGAGGCGUUACCCGCAGAAGAAGCACCGGCUAACUCCGUGCCAGCAGCCGCGGUAAUUC
RNAcentral lists this ribosomal RNA (406 nucleotides) under uncultured bacterium. RNAcentral's name for it is "partial 16S ribosomal RNA". It matches the Rfam family "Bacterial small subunit ribosomal RNA", at positions 30 to 526 of the family's 1533-position model. The record is from RNAcentral.